GGUAAAAUGGCCGAUAAAGGUAAUAAAUUGUAAAUUUAUUUAUGAAUUAAGAAAAUUCUUUUACUA
Molecule: transfer RNA, 66 nt
Filed under: Ixodes fecialis
Lineage: Eukaryota; Metazoa; Arthropoda; Arachnida; Ixodida; Ixodidae
Description: tRNA-Tyr
Source: RNAcentral